RNAcentral lists this long non-coding RNA (199 nucleotides) under Nicotiana benthamiana. RNAcentral's name for it is "long non-coding RNA (NBEN_LNC041548)". The record is from RNAcentral. Lineage: Eukaryota; Viridiplantae; Streptophyta; Magnoliopsida; Solanales; Solanaceae.
UCUGUUUGAUAUACGUUGUAUAUGAGCGUAUAUUCUCCCUUCACAGGUGGUUCAGGGUCAGGAACCAAAUAACUCCAUCUGAUUAUUAAUGUGCGGGGUAUAUUUUCAUUAACACCAUAAUGCACAAAGAUGGACUCUCAAAGUUGAGGAAACAAGUUAGCUUUUCUAACAUGAGGGGGAGACAUGAUAAACACUUGNN